Molecule: microRNA precursor, 173 nt
Filed under: Oryza glumipatula
Lineage: Eukaryota; Viridiplantae; Streptophyta; Magnoliopsida; Poales; Poaceae
Description: MIR812 microRNA precursor family
Rfam family: MIR812 microRNA precursor family
Source: Rfam by way of RNAcentral
UAUACGUGCAACCAUAAAUUUUCGCGUCUUAUUUAAAAAAAUUUAUAAUUAGUAUUUUUUACUGUUAUGAGAUGAUAAAUACUUUACUCGUGACUUAUGUUUUUAAUUUUUUUCAAAAAAUUUUCAAAACGGACGGUCAAAGCUAAACGUGGAAAACCAUAGCUACACUUAAA